CAUGUGUCCCCAACAUGCCCAAGGUGACAGUCUAACCUCUCCAAAGUUUUCUCUAGAAUUACAAAUUGGUUCUGCCAGUCUGGCUUCAUCCUUUUCAGAGAAAGACAAGACUAUGACUCUCCUAAGGCUGCUUAGCGUUAACAGGGUGGGGCUUAUCAUUCCCCUAUUCCUUCAUCUAGUGACUUGUCUCACUGCUGGUGGCUCAGGGCCCUGGUAUUCAGGAUACCCUAACCUGUCCUUCUUGCCAAAGCCAAACAGAGAGAAGGGCCUGAAUUCGGGGGGAAGGGGGUGUCUUCAGACACUACCAAAUUUCCUCUUCAAAAAGAAAACUCAGCUUAUCCAUCCAGCCGUCCUUCCUUCUUUUCUUCUUUUUUUUUUGGUGGCACUGGGAAUUGAACCUAGGACCUUCACACUGAGCUACAUUCCCAGUCUUUUUCUUUACUUUUUAUUUUGAGACAGGGUCUUCCUAAAUCACUGAGUUCCCUAGGCUGGGCUAAAACUUGUGACCCUCCUGCCUCACGCCUCAGCCUCCCAGAGUGCUGGGAUUACAGGCUUUGCCACUUUGCCCAGCUUGCUGCAUGUCUUUUCUGAUGUUCAGGAUAAGGAGUGGGGACCUCUGCUAGUUAGGAUUUGAGCAGGUCCUAUCUCAAUGAGUAAAUGAAACACAAUAUGCAAAUUACUUUGAGCUUAUACUGUCCUCUCGUUUUGGUUCAUUGGCAAAUAUAGAUUGCACAUCUGGCCCUGUGUAGGUGUGGUGCCUGUGUCUGGAGGCUAACUUCCACAGAUGCUUUCACAGUCUGUGGCACCUCUGUAUUGUGCAGAGGGUCUCUGGGCCUGUCCCAGGGAGCAACAGCCACAGCUGUCCCCGGGCAGAAGUUGUGGGUUAGGGUGGCGAAAUGCAGCACGCUCAUACCCAGCUCUGAGGCGGCCUGCAGCCCGGCUCGGGAACAUCAGUCUCUUUCCAAGUACAUAGCAGUGGCCAUUCAUGCCAAAGUAUGUCCUUCCCCCUGUGCUCGACAUCUCUCUCACACUGACCAACACUUGUUGCCUUGCUUCCUGCCUAGGACGUGAGUGACCGAAUAGAAAAGGAAUCCCUGGAUGGCCCAAUUGUGAGGCAGUUAGAGAGAGGUGGGCGAGCUGUGGUGAAGAUGGACUGGCGGGAGAAUAUCACUGUGCCCCUCCAGACAGAUUUGCGUAAAUUCAGAACCUACAAGGGUGGCUCUGUCAGAGAUCUCCCUGCGAGCCAUGAGAAACAAGAAACACCACUACCGAGAGCUCCCUGUGGAGGUGCAGGAAACACUGGGCUCCCUCCCCGAUGACUUUGUGCGCUACUUCACAUCGCGCUUCCCCCACCUCCUCUCACACACCUACUGGGCCAUGGAGUUGUGCAGCCACGAGAGACUCUUCCAGCCCUACUACUUCCACGAGCCCCCAGAGCCCCCACCCCCAGUGACUCCAGAUGUCCUCUGAGCUAGGGCAACUCUGUUCUGGUGGCCGCAGCUGUGACAGUGGGCCUGGUCUCUGUAGUCCAGAGUUUGACACCACCCUGGCUUAGCAGGGAGACCAGGCUUCUCAAACCAAGUGCCUUGAGCUGCCCCCUCUGCAGCCAGCAGAGGCUGGCCCCAGGAAGUGGGAGAACCGGCCCUCAAGACCUCCAGGGAGCAGGCAAGAAGUUGGCCUUGGAAGCUGCUCUCUAGUUCGGAGGUAUCUGCAGUGGUGGGCUCCUCACAGGCUGUGAAAGGAGCCCUGCUGACCUGCUGGAUGAGCUCACCUCGGCUUACCUCUCUUUGUAAAAUUCCUGUUUGACAUCAGUCUCUGGGCCUUUCAAGAGGGGAGUGGAAGAAUCCUAGGUUUUGCCUGCAAGCUGGGAUGUAGGAAGUGCAGCCUCUGCUAGAAGUGGGCUCAAGAGGUGAGGGAUACUGAGGAGGAGGACGUGCAGAGGGGUUGUUCUGGGGGACAGGAGGUGCCUCACUGAUCCCAGAUGUGCCGAGAGCCUCCCAGCUUACUGUUAAUUGGUGUUUCCUUAGGUAGUGAAGCCGUUGGCAUAAGGCAUGAAGUUAGAGACUGGCCAGCGAUGCCUAUGGGCAGUUGAGAUGGGUCUGCAGGUCUCUGGGAGAUGAAGAGGAUGCUCUGUUCAGGAGGCAGUGCUAGUCCAGAACCCUGGUGGCCUGAGCAGUAAUGUGUGGUGGGUCGUGUCCUGGGCCAUUGGGGCAGGAGAUGAAGAGUCCCCUGGACAUCAGUGAUGGCAGCUAAGAACCGCAUAGGGACAAGUCUUCAGAACAAGAAGGGAGCAACUGAAUGGGAGCCUCCCGGCCACCUAGAGAAGACCCUGAACCAGCUUGUGAGGAUAAGGCUGCUCCAUCUCUGAGCCCAACAAGUCAGGGUGCAUGUGGUGGGUCAGGGCCUAUGGGUUGGGAGCCAGGGUCAGAGUCACUGUGGGCUUUGUGGGCCAGCUUUUAUGUUUCUCCUGGCAAAUUUUAAUGGCUACAUUUCGAUCAUACUGUAGAAUGCUACAUUAGCAUAAGUAAGCUAAACUUAACAUGAACUUACUUGUAAAGAAAUACAAGAUAUAAUAUCUUCUGUUUCGUGUGGUACCAAAAAUCUCCAUGCCCUCAAGAGUGUUCCAUUUAGAACAUUCUCUAAUGCUGAAGGAUAAAACAUUCUAGCAACACUAUGUAAAUAUAUUAAUGUCAAAGUUAUGUACCCUAAGUUAUGUCACUACCCUUUUUUCUCAAAUUAAUAUAAUUUUUUAACUUUAAUUUCAGUCAGAACUUCCUCUGCUCCCUCCUGAGAGCCUUGGAGCUUAAGAUGCAAUCAGGGUCCAUAGGAGGAAGCUCUGUGUGUCCACUUCCUCCAGUCAGUGAGAGUCACUCCAUCCAGCCCUGGCGAGCUGAGUCUUAGUUCCAUUGUUCUCGGGUAAGAGUGUCACUGCCAGCUUAGGGCACUGACAGGAGUCACUCCUGCUUCCUCCUGUGAGAAGUUUUCUGAUUGUGUUUGUGUCAGGGCCACUCAUCCAAAGCUCAUUCUGCCUCUGAAGAAUUCAGCCUUGCUUUUAUAAAAGCCAGAGUGACUUUUCUCUUAAUAUUAAUAUGAUCUCGCAUCUUUGAACUUCAUGAAUAACUCUGCUUAAGCCUUGGAAACUCAGCCUCUCCUUUGGCUUCCUCAGCAUCUCCCACCACAUGGUUCAUCUUCCAGGAAUAUGGCCAGACUGUUUCCUCUUGUUCUGAUGCAUCCAUACCAACUCUGCUUUUACAGUGCCCUCCACGUGGCUCCAGGUUCCUUUGCCUGGGGUCUGAGAGGUGACAGCCCAGGGGAGUGUCAGGAGGUGAAGUAGGUGCCAUGUGUUAUCUGACAGGACUCCCAUGUGGACUGCUGUUCACCUUGUUCUUGCAGCUGAGUUUUCUCUCCAGGAAGUGCCCAGGUGAUUUCUAGUGGCUCAGUUUGUUGUCAUCUCCUGUUUCUAGCCCAGUUUGCCUGGAGACAGCUUUUUCAGAUUCCUUUUCUGCUCAUCGGAUAGAUUCAUUUCUAACCAUCCAAAUUUCUCAGACUCCUUUAGUCAGCAUAUUUUAUUUGGGGAUUUACUAUAUUGAGAUGGGUAGGUCCCAGGGUGCUAGGGAAACCGAAGAGCCAGACAGGCCAAGCUCUGCUUUUGUAAAGCUUGUGAGAGAAUUAAGAGCAAAUAAGUAUAAUACUACAAAGAAUCUAGGCAGGUGGGGAAGGGCAUGUGUUUGGGGUUUGCACAUCUUUUGCCUUAAAAUACUCUGUCCCAGACUUAUCAUCUCUGGUCAGGUUACCUGUCUGUCUUUUCUUCUUACCUUCAGGGACUCAGACUCUCCUCCAGGUUUAUCUGAAGAGUUCUCAUGGAGACAUUUGUUUUGAAAACAUCUUGAGUGUUAUCUAGUGAGUCCAGUUUGAGCCUAGAAUUCCAGUUUCCCAUUGUGCUCACCAAGGGGAAGCUGUCUUUCAGAGGCCAGAACAGCUCUGUGACAUCGUGCCUCUUUAGUUUAAGCUACAGGGCUUCUACAAGUCUUGGAAGGCUGCCUAACUUUUUAGAAGUACACUCUCUCCAUCUUUCAGAUAGCAUUGAGUUGUGUCUGUUAGGGAUCAAAAAACCCUAUAAUUUAUUUAGGUCUUACCUUUUUUUUUUUUUUGUUGCUACCGGGAUCAAACUUGGGUCCUUGCGCUUGCACAGCAGGCGCGCGAAACCACUGAGCUAAAUCCCCGGCCCUAGGUCUUGUGCCAUGUGGUGAACCCCUCUGACACACGUGCCAAAACUUCUCUCAUUGCUUGAGUCUUUAAUUUCAGUUGUUGAAAAGUGCCACAUGUCACUAAGCAGCAAAGCAUUUGCACUUUCGAGAACACUGGUAUCACCUGAUCAGUCAUGACAUCGUCUGAUGGCUGGAGGUGAAUCCUGGGUACAGAGGGUCCCUGUUCUUGGUGCAGCAGUUGUUGCAGGCUUUUCUGAGAGACAGCACUGAUCAGUCACAGACCAAUGCUGACCAGUGGGUCCAAGCAAAAUGCUUUCUUCCCAGCUCUAGAAGAGGUUUUGUGUGUGUUUGAUUAUUCAGUUACCACUGGCAGUUCUUUCUCGUUACAGUAAGAGUAAUUCAUUGGCUGCUGAGAAAAGCUUCCACAGAAGCAGCCUUUGCAUUGCAGGGCUCCCGCUCCUGGCCACUUUGUUUUCAGCAACUGGCCUUUGGCUGGGGGUCAUUUUCCCCAUGUUUCCGUUCUCCAUCUGUUCACUGGAUCCUUGUUCUUUGUUCUCAUCAUUCAUUGGUCAGAAGUUAUCAGGAGAGCUGGAAGGAAGAGGAAGUGCAGCAGCCGUGGAAAGAACCUCUUUAAAUUCCCCAUUCACCGUUCUCUCUGCUCUUUGGCUUUGCAAACUGCAUCCAUGCUUCCCAGUGUGUCCCCCUUUGCCCCAGGUGCAGUGGUGUUAGUUGACUGCGGCUGGGCCUUGGCAUUUCCUGGAAGGAGAUCAUCAGUCAUCUUAGGCAGGGAGCCCAGAUUCUCCCUUCCAGGGUUGGAUUGUUAAUCUUUUAAGCCAAAGUAUCUGCUCUCUUCCUGUUCUUUGUUGUCUUUAUGAAGCAUUGAUUUUCCAUGAAUGACUCUGGCUGUGAUUUUUGUUUCAACACCUCAAUCCUGUCUGUAUACAUUGGAAGACCACAAAGGAUGCAUCUGCCAUGAGCCUCCCUCUGGAACAGCCUUCACCAUACUGCCAGCCAAAGUCCCCACUGCCAGGCCUCUCCUGUGCUCCUGUCUCGUGGGUACAGUAUUCCUUCCCAGUGUCCCUAAAGCUGUGAUGGAGAGUCCCCACUCACCUAAGCAUUACUGGUCAGCUACGUGGCAUUCUCACAUGUGAACCUUGUGUAGCGUUCUUUUUUGCAAUGACCUAUUUAUUGAACCUAUUUAUAUUUAUUUAAUUUUUACUCUGAAGUGUAUCCAGUUACAUUUGCACUUGCUUAAAAGCACAUCAGAUCUAUUUUGGACAACACCUUUGACCAUUUUAAAACUGGAAAGGAAGAGUUAUACUGUAUCCUUCCAUGGGAUGGAAGCCUUGUCUUUAAAGGGUGAAUAAUCUGGUCGGGGUAAAAUGCUAAUUUUUAAGUGAUUUUUUUUUUUUUAAUCAUGUGCCAUUGUGUCUUCUCUGUGGACAGUUGUUUUAAUUGAUAUGUGUUAGUUGUGUGAUACAAUCCUCUUUGUGGAACCUAAAAUUCUCUUUUUAACUUUAUAUUUUAUAAACUGCCAGAUUGUAUAAUUUUUUUAUGUGUAUUUUUAAAGCUUGAUGAUAUGAGAGUCAUUAUCUAAAGUUAAAAGGCCUAUUUUUUGUACCUCUUGUACAGUUUUAUAAUUCUGAUUAAUGAUGGCAUCUUACAUUUAGCCAACCACAAAUAAAGGUAGUUUAGAUAUGGG
RNAcentral lists this long non-coding RNA (5910 nucleotides) under Heterocephalus glaber (naked mole-rat). RNAcentral's name for it is "lncRNA (ENSHGLG00000045125.1)". Lineage: Eukaryota; Metazoa; Chordata; Mammalia; Rodentia; Bathyergidae. The record is from RNAcentral.